RNAcentral lists this ribosomal RNA (253 nucleotides) under uncultured bacterium. RNAcentral describes it as "partial 16S ribosomal RNA". It matches the Rfam family "Bacterial small subunit ribosomal RNA", at positions 524 to 776 of the family's 1533-position model. The record is from RNAcentral.
UACGUAGGGUGCAAGCGUUAAUCGGAAUUACUGGGCGUAAAGCGUGCGCAGGCGGCUUUGCAAGACAGAUGUGAAAUCCCCGGGCUCAACCUGGGAACUGCAUUUGUGACUGCAUGGCUAGAGUACGGUAGAGGGGGAUGGAAUUCCGCGUGUAGCAGUGAAAUGCGUAGAUAUGCGGAGGAACACCGAUGGCGAAGGCAGUCCCCUGGGCCUGCACUGACACUCAAGCACGAAAGCGUGGGGAGCAAACAGG